AGUGAACGCUGGCGGUAGGCCUAACACAUGCAAGUCGAACGGCAGCACAGUAAGAGCUUGCUCUUACGGGUGGCGAGUGGCGGACGGGUGAGGAAUACAUCGGAAUCUACUUUUUCGUGGGGGAUAACGUAGGGAAACUUACGCUAAUACCGCAUACGACCUACGGGUGAAAGCAGGGGAUCUUCGGACCUUGCGCGAUUGAAUGAGCCGAUGUCGGAUUAGCUAGUUGGCGGGGUAAAGGCCCACCAAGGCGACGAUCCGUAGCUGGUCUGAGAGGAUGAUCAGCCACACUGGAACUGAGGAACGGUCCAGACUCCUACGGGAGGCAGGAGGGGGGAAUAUUGGACAAUGGGCGCAAGCCUGAUCCAGCCAUACCGCGUGGGUGAAGAAGGCCUUCGGGUUGUAAAGCCCUUUUGUUGGGAAAGAAAAGCAGCAGGUUAAUACCCCGCUGUUCUGACGGUACCCAAAGAAUAAGCACCGGCUAACUUCGUG
Molecule: ribosomal RNA, 492 nt
Filed under: uncultured bacterium
Lineage: Bacteria
Description: partial 16S ribosomal RNA
Rfam family: Bacterial small subunit ribosomal RNA
Source: RNAcentral